This 42-nucleotide transfer RNA is filed under the name Vitis aestivalis. RNAcentral describes it as "partial tRNA-His". Lineage: Eukaryota; Viridiplantae; Streptophyta; Magnoliopsida; Vitales; Vitaceae. The record is from RNAcentral. RNAcentral also lists the same sequence under 104 other names.
GGCGGAUGUAGCCAAGUGGAUCAAGGCAGUGGAUUGUGAAUC